Molecule: non-coding RNA, 75 nt
Organism: Streptomyces autolyticus
Lineage: Bacteria; Bacillati; Actinomycetota; Actinomycetes; Kitasatosporales; Streptomycetaceae
Source: Rfam
CUUCACCGAGCCCAGCAGCAGCGGCCGUUCUUCGGGGCGGCCCGUGCCGUAUGUGGCCAGCAGGGCCUGUGCCUC